UUUCUUUUGCUUUGUUUUCAACCAAACAAAUAAGCGUCGCGUGAUUUUCCUCGUUAUUUCACUUAAUAAUAGCUAAUCCUUUCUUUACAAUCGAAGAGAAUCGGCCUCUUGAGUUUGGUUCAAUCUGGAAAUUCGGUUUUUUGAGAAAAAUCCUUGAGGAAUUUUCUCUGCCGAUAUUUCUGUUGCGAUCAGGAGAUCUUCGUUGAGAAUUAGAUGGAUACCAAUAACUAGAGGUCUACUCCUCCCAGUGGAGAGCCGCCCAUGGAUUCAGGUGAUUGGAGAGCCCAAUUGCAGCCAGAUUCACGACAAAGAAUAGUCAACAAGAUAAUGGAUACACUGAAGAGGCACCUUCCAUUUUCUGGUGAAGAGGGUCUAAAUGAACUCAGGAAAAUUGCUAAGGUUCGAGGAAAAGAUUUUUGCAACUGCAACCAGUCAGACUGAUUAUCUAAGGAGAAUCAUCUUUGAAGAUGCUUACAAUGGAGUACAAGUCUCAGAAUGCUAUACCCAACACAGGGAAUAACAGCAAACCACCUGAUCCAGGUUCUCAAGGCAUGCAGAGCCAAGUUCGCAGUAAGGGACAAUCAGUUCCUAUCUCAUUACAAAGUAAUCAAUCUCAAGCACAACUGUUAUCCCAGAGUGUUCCAAAUAACAUUGCAUCUGCUGGUUUACAAUCUGGAAUGCCUGCUGUAUCUGGUCUAACCCAAAAUCCUGUACCUAAUGUUGUUGGCCAGAAUUCCAACAUGCAGACAGAACAUGUCUGGAAU
Hibiscus syriacus is the source of this 764-nucleotide long non-coding RNA. RefSeq lists it as uncharacterized. NCBI's taxonomy places the organism in Eukaryota, Viridiplantae, Streptophyta, Magnoliopsida, Malvales, Malvaceae. The transcript has 5 exons. The record is from RefSeq and is a predicted model, not a curated record.